RNAcentral lists this ribosomal RNA (427 nucleotides) under uncultured bacterium. RNAcentral's name for it is "partial 16S ribosomal RNA". It matches the Rfam family "Bacterial small subunit ribosomal RNA", at positions 355 to 774 of the family's 1533-position model. The record is from RNAcentral.
UGGGGAAUAUUGCACAAUGGGCGCAAGCCUGAUGCAGCCAUGCCGCGUGUAUGAAGAAGGCCUUCGGGUUGUAAAGUACUUUCAGCGGGGAGGAAGGCGAUAAGGUUAAUAACCUUGUCGAUUGACGUUACCCGCAGAAGAAGCACCGGCUAACUCCGUGCCAGCAGCCGCGGUACUACGGAGGGUGCAAGCGUUAAUCGGAAUUACUGGGCGUAAAGCGCACGCAGGCGGUCUGUCAAGUCGGAUGAGAAAUCCCCGGGCUCAACCUGGGAACUGCAUUCGAAACUGGCAGGCUAGAGUCUUGUAGAGGGGGGUAGAAUUCCAGGUGUAGCGGUGAAAUGCGUAGAGAUCUGGAGGAAUACCGGUGGCGAAGGCGGCCCCCUGGACAAAGACUGACGCUCAGGUGCGAAAGCGUGGGGAGCAAACA